Molecule: non-coding RNA, 218 nt
Organism: Pelobates cultripes (western spadefoot toad)
Lineage: Eukaryota; Metazoa; Chordata; Amphibia; Anura; Pelobatidae
Source: the annotation of a GenBank genome assembly
GCUUUCUGGCAGAUCUGUGGGAACUCAUUUGGGACUCUAACCCUGAAUAAGCACAGAAGUGCAAUGGACAUGAGACACAAACUUACUUUUUCAUAAACCUGAGGCUGCCACUAGCAGACACAUGAGACUAAACAUAUCCCUGGCAAACAAGUACCUGAGCAUUUAAGCAUCCAGCAUGAAACGCAAGGGACUUUAUUACAGCCAGGGUGCAAGCCGAC